Molecule: long non-coding RNA, 5249 nt
Organism: Passer domesticus (house sparrow)
Lineage: Eukaryota; Metazoa; Chordata; Aves; Passeriformes; Passeridae
Exons: 2
Source: RefSeq, a predicted model, not a curated record
UGGUCUCCUUGAUUCCAUGAGGCACCUCAGAGUCACCAUGGCCCCUUGGUUCCAGGAGGUUCUGUGCUGUCAGCAAUGUCUCCUUGCUUCUCCAGUGUCACAAUGGCUGCACGAAGGCCUUAGGGUUUAAAAAACAGAGCAUGAGCUCAGUCCAUGAGAAGACGUGAUAGAAGCAUUCCUCAAGUGAUCUUGAUGCUGAAUGUCUCCUUAGGAGGUCUUGGCAUGGAGAAGAAUGAGCCCCUUGCGGGCUGACUCUUUUUGUACAACCUGCUCCUCAUCCCCAGCCUCACCAUGUCUGACAUCGCCCACCUGGGACUGACAUCCCUGUGCCCUGAAGCAGAAACUAUCCCCUGAGCUCUGCAGCUCUACAUCCCAGCCCAUUGCAACAUGUCCCACCUUCUCUCCUCAGGGCUCUGCCUGCAUGCAGGCCCAUGAGAAGUUUUCCUGUUUGUAAGGAAGGCGUAGAAAAGCCUGAGCAGAUUUCCUGAACAACAAACCCCACUCAGAACCACCUGCUCAGUACAGGCUGCCUGGAAUGGUGUCACCUUUCUACAAGGGACAGUGUGACCAGAAAUGAUUUCUGGAAGCAGAAUUCUCCAAGUCUUGCAGCUGAAUUCUCUGUCCCUGUUUGUUCCCUGGAUCUCUGCUGCAGAUGGAAGCUGCUGGUGCCAUUCUCACCUUUAACCCCUCUUUUGAAUGCAAACAGAUGUUCCCAGGUGUGUUAAGCAGGUGUUGCUCAAUGUUUAUGCAAAGGUUUUCGGUUCCUCAUGCAGCCAAGGAGACGCUUGUGACACAGCGAGGGCUUAUGGAACCAGUGGUCCAUUGUGACACUGCCCAUUCAAGGAGACCAUGGUGACACCAUGGAACCUCAUGGAACAGAGGAUCCAUAGUGACACAGCAGAGCCCUGUGGAACCAAGGAGCCUUUGUGAUACUCCAGAUCCUCAUGGAACCAAGGGUGCAUUGAGGCACAGUCAGGUCUUGUUGGAACCAAAGAAACUUCUGUAAAAAGCAGGGUAACUCACAGAACCAGGGAGUCCAUUGUUACAGGAUAAAACCUAUGGAACCAGGGAUCCAUUGUGACAAAGUGGGGCCUCAUGGAAACAAGGGGCCACUGUAACAUAGUGGAACCGCACGGAACAAAUUGUGCAUUAUGACAAUGUAGAUCCAAGGAGACCAUGGUGACACUGUGGAACCUCAUGGAUCCAAGGGGCCAUUGUGACACUGAAGAACUUCAUGGAACCCAGGGUCUGUUGUGGCACAGCAGGGCCUCAUUGGAACAAAGGAACCAUUGUUGACACUACAUAAACUCAUGGAACCAAGGGGCCAUGGUGACACAGCAGGGCCAUAUGGAACCAAGGAGGCCAGUGACAUUUAGGAACCUCAAGGAACCAAGGGUCCAUUAUGACACUGCAGAAACAAGGAGGCCAUUGCUGACACUAUGGAAAUUCAUGGAACCAAGCAGCCAUUGUGACACUGCAAGGUGUCAUUGAACCAGGGAGACCAUGGUAACACUAGAGAACCUAGAGAACUAAGGGUUUAUUGUGACACAGCAGGGGCCCAUGUAGCCAAUUGUCCAUUGUGACAAUGCAGCUCUGAGGAGACCACGGUGACACUAUGGAAGCCCAUGGAACCAUGGAUCCAUUGGGACAAAGCAAGGCCUCGUGGAACCAAGGAGACCAUGGUGACAUCAUGGAAACUCAGGGAACCAAGGGUUCAUUGUUACAGUCCAGAACCAAGGAGACCAUGGUGACAGUACAGAACCUCACAGGACCAAGAUUCCAUUGUUGAGCAGUGGGGCUCCAUGGAUCCAAGGAAGCACUGUGACACAGCAGGGCUGCAUGGAACCAAUGAUCCAUAGAGAUACUGAAGAUCCAAGGAGACCAUGGUGAUACCACGGAACCUCAUUGAACCAAGGGUCCAUUGUGACACUGUGGGGCCCCUGGAACCAAAUAUUCAUGGUGACACAGCAGGGCUGCUUGUGACCAAUUGUCCAUUUUGAUACUGCAGAUCCAAGAGACCAGGGUGACACUAUAGCAGUUCAUGGAAUCAAGGGGCUGUUGUGACACACCAAGGCCUUGUGGAACCAAGGACAGCAUUGUGGCAGUGCAGAACCAAGGCAACCAUUCUGACAGUACAGAACCCAAUGAAAACAAGGGUCCAUUGUUACACAGCAGGGCCUGAUGGAACCAAGCGGCCAUUGUGAAACUGUGGGGCAUAACAGAGUCAAGGACACCACUGAUACUGAAAUCCACAGGACAUAAACUUUUGAACACAGUUUUGAAUAUUUGAAAGCAGGUAUUCUUCAUUACAGCAUGGUGGUCACUUGGGCCAUCCUUCCUCCAUUCGAGUGCACUGAACAUCAAGUGAACAGAGUUUUUUGCAGACACACUGAUUACAUAUUCAUGAGCUCUCCCCACAUCCUUUGAAUUUAUUUAAUAUAGUUGCACCCCUUAUCAGAAAUCUUUAUGGGGUUCUUGCGGGUUUGUUUCCAACAUCUGUUGUCCUUUUUAGAUGGCUGUUCCUCAACUCCUGCUUUUGAGUAAGGGCAAUUUUGUUGUUUUGCAUAACUUCUGCUUUGUCGGCCUUGCAGAGCAGAGCUGGCAUCCUGCUUGUGUUUUGUGUGAGUAACAUCCUUUAUCUGCUUCUCCAAAGUUGUGCUGUUCUGUUCUACUCUCCUCAUCACAUCCCCCCUUUUCUUGAGACUCAGUUCCUUAUAUGGACUGGUCUCUCAAUAGUUCCAUUUUAUAGCGUAGGGCACUAUAGCACUGAAUUGUGAUGGAAGCAAAAUCCAUACAGCAAUUAUUGUGGUGACCAUUUUAAACAGAUGUUUUAACCAAACUCAGCUGGGUAGUCAGGAAAGAAGUUUGGUCCAGAUUUCUUCAAAUCCCCAGGACAUUUCAUCUUGAGCUGUCCAUUGAAAGAAUUUUUAAACUAUAAUACUCGGUCCCAAAGUCAGUUCUUGAUCUUCCUGGAUCAAUAAAAGAGCAGCUGCUACUGCCCUCAGACAGCCCAGAGAGCCCUGGCUGACAUUGUCUGGUUGCUGUGAAAAGUAGGCACAGCCCUGCUGCAGCCCCCAGGAACUGUGACAGCCCUCCCCGUGCUGGGUUUUGUCUCUCAUAGGGAAACAGAUCCAAUGGCUCCAUAGGGUCUGGGAGCCCCAAAGCAGGGCCUGCAUGAGGGCUCGCUGGAGCUGUGAAAAGGCAGCCCAUGCCACACCAGUCCAGACUAUAAAGUCCUGCUGAGCUGCCCUCAAGAGCUCUCACAGCAGCUUUACCAGCAGCCCAUAAUUGCUGAUGCACAGCUGACAUCAUUCCACUGCCCUGAGAAACGCCUGCGACUCUCUCAUCGUUCAUGGCUGUGGGAGUUGGCAAAUUGCUUCCUUUCCUUCCUGUCCCAACCCCCUUUGUCCCUGGAGGAUUUUGAAUCCCAGGUAGGCUUCUGUGGUCUGGACUGUUUGUACUCUGUAUCCACUUAGUCCCAGAAAAUUCCACAAUGCCACAGUCUUAUCCCUGCAUUGCUGCUGAGUUUCAGUGGCCUCAGAAUGCCAUCUCCAGCCUGGAACAAGACUCCAAGACUCCAAGAGGGUUCUGAUGCUUCCAUUCCUCCAGUUCUUUUGCCACUUGGUUUCCAUAUAAGGUGGGGGUAUUUUUAAACCCCUCUGGUAGAACUGGCCAAGUCAGUUGGGUUCUUCUCACUGUGUUUGGACUUCCCCAUUCAGAAGUAAAUAGUUCUUGACUUCACUACUCAAAGAGAUACAGAAAAAGCCACUUUCAAAUUCUAUACUGUGGACCAUUUUAAUUUUUCACUCCAGGUUGUUAACAAGGAUUUGCUACUGACGUGUGUAUAUCUUCCAUUGUCUCAUUUAUGGCUCUAGGAUCCUGUACCAGCCACUAAUCCUCUCCAUCUGCCUUCUUAACUGGCAAAAUAAGGAUAUUACAUUUGGAUUAAUAUUCCUUCAACUGGUCUUAUUUUAGAAAUCUUUCCACAAGGGAUAAUAACCCCCUAAAACUUUAUUUUUUCAAAGGGUAUUGUUUUUGCCUUACUCGUCCUGCUCAGAGUUUCAAUUUAUUUCUUACAGACGCUGCUUUUCUGGGUCACUGGUACACCUCUCCAGUCCAGACUACCAGAUUUACUGCAUCCUUAAGUGAUACAGAUGGCAGAUGGAUCACAUCUGAUUUUGAAGACUGCAGUGCAAAAAUAGAGGCUUCUACUCCAAAUUACAUUUUGGAGUAAUAACCUGCAUUUUGCCAUUAUAAUCUUGAUUUUAGCAUUCAGGUUUUCCAAUAAAUCCUCCAAGGAGAAGCUUUAGUAAAUUGAAUAGAUUCAUUGUUUUCCUAAUUUAAAAUCAAUGGGCCGGGAAAAUGGCUGAGUUUCAUGAUUCCCUGUUGCACCAAUGAUUGUUAUAGAAUCAUUACUCAAGCUUCCUUUGGUUGUAUUUAGCACAGAGCAACCAGCUUCUGUAGCCACUAAAAUUCUAACUCCUCAUUGACCUCCUCCCUCCCAGCUUAGCUGUGACCAGAGGUUCUGCUGGGAAAGAAUCCUCUGGUCCCCCUCAGUGGCCAUCGAUGAUAGCCACGAGAGGGGGGUUUUGUGUUGUAACUGCAGACAGUCCUUUUUCAAAUUUUUCAAAUGCCUCUCUUUCUUACAAUGGGCACAUUGAUUAACACCAAGUCUCUUUUCUUUCUUCCUCUCCUAUUCUUUGAUGAGCCCUGAGGGAAAAGAUUGAAUUGUGGAAUAACUCACAUUGGAAGAGUGUCCUUUGCAACAGAGCCUUCAAUUGUACCAAAUGUGGCUUCACUUACAGCUGUUCUGAUUGGUUCUGAUAAUCCACCUAAUCAUGGUGCAUUUCUGGAAAGCCACCCCAAGAAUCUGGUGACAUCUGCUACACAAUACCAGUGCCUGCAAGCGCAGCCUCCAAACAGGGUUGCCUCAGGACACUGGUGCUCCUGCAGCCUUGUGCCAGGUUAACAGAUAAGAGAUUCAUCUGCACACCCAGACAGGGCACCAACAAUGGCAGCAGGAGAAACUCAGUUCAUUCUCUGCCCUGGCUGCUCCCAGGGCCAUCACUGGAGAGCUACCAGCUCAUUAGGAACCCAUCUCCAAAACUGAGAAGAGCUCAGAGGAACAGUGGCAAGUGACAAUCCAAAGUGCAGCUCCUGAGCAAUGGAUACCUUGUCCCAGCUCCUUCCCUGGGACAGCCAUCAGCCCCAGUGUCCAGGUUUGAAACCCCAAAGGCACUGAGAGCAGG